This 444-nucleotide ribosomal RNA is filed under the name uncultured bacterium. RNAcentral's name for it is "partial 16S ribosomal RNA". It matches the Rfam family "Bacterial small subunit ribosomal RNA", at positions 354 to 796 of the family's 1533-position model. The record is from RNAcentral.
GUAGGGAAUAUUGGGCAAUGGUCGGAAGACUGACCCAGCCAUGCCGCGUGCAGGAAGACGGCCCUCUGGGUUGUAAACUGCUUUUAUCUGGGAAGAAAAAGGCCAUGCGUGGCAAAUUGCCGGUACCAGAUGAAUAAGCACCGGCUAACUCCGUGCCAGCAGCCGCGGUAAUACGGAGGGUGCGAGCGUUGUCCGGAUUUAUUGGGUUUAAAGGGUGCGUAGGCGGCUGAUUAAGUCAGCGGUGAAAGACUUCGGCUUAACCGGAGCAGGGCCUUUGAUACUGGUUGGCUUGAGUGUCGGAGGGGUACAUGGAAUUGAUGGUGUAGCGGUGAAAUGCAUAGAUACCAUCAGGAACACCGAUAGCGAAGGCAUUGUACUGGCCGACAACUGACGCUGAUGCACGAAAGUGUGGGGAUCGAACAGGAUUAGAAACCCGAGUAGUCC